UCCCAGGUGGCUCAGUGGUAAAGAACCUGCUUGCCAAGCAGGAGACUCGGGUUCGAUGCCCAGGUCAGGGAC
Molecule: non-coding RNA, 72 nt
Organism: Bos taurus (domestic cattle)
Lineage: Eukaryota; Metazoa; Chordata; Mammalia; Artiodactyla; Bovidae
Source: Rfam